Molecule: ribosomal RNA, 347 nt
Filed under: Staphylococcus aureus
Lineage: Bacteria; Bacillati; Bacillota; Bacilli; Caryophanales; Staphylococcaceae
Description: bacterial SSU rRNA
Rfam family: Bacterial small subunit ribosomal RNA
Source: RNAcentral
UUUAUGGAGAGUUUGAUCCUGGCUCAGGAUGAACGCUGGCGGCGUGCCUAAUACAUGCAAGUCGAGCGAACGGAUGAGAAGCUUGCUUCUCUGAUGUUAGCGGCGGACGGGUGAGUAACACGUGGAUAACCUACCUAUAAGACUGGGAUAACUUCGGGAAACCGGAGCUAAUACCGGAUAAUAUUUUGAGCCGCAUGGUUCAAAAGUGAAAGACGGUCUUGCUGUCACUUAUAGAUGGAUCCGCGCUGCAUUAGCUAGUUGGUAAGGUAACGGCUUACCAAGGCAACGAUGCAUAGCCGACCUGAGAGGGUGAUCGGCCACACUGGAACUGAGACACGGUCCAGACU